AACAUGUCCUAAUGAUUAAUUAGUAUUAGGUUUGACCUGCUCAAUGAAUAAUUUUAAAUAGCCGCAGUAUCUUGACUGUGCGAAGGUAGCAUAAUCAUUUGUCUUUUAAUUGAAGGCUGGAAUGAACGGUCGGAUGAAGGAAUAUCUUUCUUUAUAUUAAAUUAUUGAAUUUAAUUUUUUGGUUAAAAAGCUAAAAUUUUUAAAUGGGACGAGAAGACCCUAUAGAAUUUUAUUUUUAUUAGAAAUAUUAAUAUUUAUUGGUUAAUUAUAUAUUUAUUUUUAUUGAAAUUUUGUUGGGGAGACAUUGAGAUUAUUUUAACUCUCAUAUUUAUAUUAUUUAUGAAUAAUUAUAUUUAGGAUCUUAACUUUUUAGAUAUUUAGAUUAAAUUACCUUAGGGAUAACAGCGUAAUUUUUUUGGAGAGUUCUUAUCGAUAAAGGAGUUUGCGACCUCGAUGUUGGAUUAAAAUAAGAUUUAAGUGCAGAAGCUUAAUUUUCUAGGUCUGUUCGACCUUUAAUUUUUUACGUGAU
This 529-nucleotide ribosomal RNA is filed under the name Halyomorpha halys (brown marmorated stink bug). RNAcentral's name for it is "partial 16S ribosomal RNA". It matches the Rfam family "Bacterial large subunit ribosomal RNA", at positions 1812 to 2604 of the family's 2925-position model. The record is from RNAcentral. Lineage: Eukaryota; Metazoa; Arthropoda; Insecta; Hemiptera; Pentatomidae.